AUGCAAGAACUCCGGCUCUGGGUCUGGCGUGGUGACGGUCGAAGAAAACAAGACGAUGAAAGAGGAAGAACGGCUCCGCAAGGUCUUGAUGCUUCUCGCCACGUUCGCGGUGAGCAUCACCUACGUCGCCUCCCAGGCGACGCGAUCCUCAAGGAACACCACAGCGUGCGCCUGACGGUGUUUCUACUCUGCAACACCACGGCAUUCGUGGCGUCCUUGCUCAUCACCACGCUGCUUAUCAUCGCCGGCAAGAAGCUCCACGACAAACCAGCUAGGUCUCGCGUGCUCUACGCGUUCAUCGUCGUCGCACUCGUCAGCCUCAUCGGCGCGUAUGCCGCCGGCAGCUGCAGGGAGACCGACACCACCGUCUACGUGGUCUCCCUGGUUGGCGCUGUUGUGGCAUAUAUCCUGCUCCAACUCCAUGGCUUCUGCAGUUCAGAGUCAAAAUUACUGUCUUGUUUCACUCCAGAUGAUAAUGGAAGUGCUAGGGAAGCUCUGGAUAAGGCUCGCUCUCUUGUUCUACUGCUCGCCACUCUUGCCACCACCAUCACCUACACAGCAGGGUUGGACCCUCCGGGUGGCGUUUGGCAGGACAACAGCGAGGGGCACAUGGCCGGCGACCCCAUCCUCCUCACGACCAACGCUAGGCGGUACAAGGCCUUCUACUACUGCAACUCGGUUGCGUUUGUGGCCUCCUUGGUGGCCAUCGUCCUGGUUCAGAAAGAGAUUCUGGUCAAGCACCACGCGCUGGAGGCAGCUAUGAUACUCGACCUGUUUGGCCUCAUCGGCGCGUAUGCCGCCGGGAGUUGCCGGGACGUGAGCACCUCCAUUUACGCCAUGGCGCUAGCAGGCGCCGUCCUGGUCUAUGUGGUGAUCCAUGUUGUCUUCUUCACGCUGGACCACAAGGAUAAGAAAGACACGGUCCAGGAACACCAGUUGCUAGAGAAGAGGCGCAAACGGUUGCUUCUCUUUGCAAUCUUGGCAGCGACCAUCACCUACCAAGCAGGCCUCACCCCUCCAGGCGGCUUCUUGCUCGAGGACGACAAGUUCGGGCGACACCAUGCCGGCGACCCUGUCCUCUUAGACAACUACCCACGCCGCUACAAUGCCUUCUUCUACUGCAACUCAAUAAGCUUCAUGCUGUCCAUCGCCCUCAUCAUCCUCCUGGUGAACCCCAAUCUGUACAGGCCAGCCAUACGGAGCAAUGCGCUAUCUGUUUGUACGGCGGUAGGCUUGUUUUGUUUGUCGCCGGAAGUACGCAACACCUCAAGACAUCCAUCUACAUCUUCGCAUUGGUGA
This 1299-nucleotide ribosomal RNA is filed under the name Triticum aestivum (bread wheat). RNAcentral describes it as "partial small subunit ribosomal RNA". The record is from RNAcentral. Lineage: Eukaryota; Viridiplantae; Streptophyta; Magnoliopsida; Poales; Poaceae.